This 339-nucleotide unclassified non-coding RNA is filed under the name soil metagenome. Its description in RNAcentral is "partial contains 5.8S ribosomal RNA, internal transcribed spacer 2, and large subunit ribosomal RNA". The stretch from base 1 to 120 matches the Rfam family "5.8S ribosomal RNA", at positions 35 to 154 of the family's 154-position model. The record is from RNAcentral.
GAUGAAGAACGUAGCGAAAUGCGAUAACUAAUGUGAAUUGCAGAAUUCAGUGAAUCAUCGAGUCUUUGAACGCACAUUGCGCCCCCUGGUAUUCCGGGGGGCAUGCCUGUCCGAGCGUCAUUGCUGCCCUCAAGCACGGCUUGUGUGUUGGGCUCCGUCCCCCCGGGGACGGGCCCGAAAGGCAGCGGCGGCACCGAGUCCGGUCCUCGAGCGUAUGGGGCUUUGUCACCCGCUCUGUAGGCCCGGCCGGCGCCAGCCGACAACCCAUCAUCCUUUUCAGGUUGACCUCGGAUCAGAUAGGGAUACCCGCUGAACUUAAGCAUAUCAAUAAGCGGAGGA